This 495-nucleotide ribosomal RNA is filed under the name Helodrilus vagneri. RNAcentral describes it as "partial 16S ribosomal RNA". It matches the Rfam family "Bacterial large subunit ribosomal RNA", at positions 1808 to 2606 of the family's 2925-position model. Lineage: Eukaryota; Metazoa; Annelida; Clitellata; Crassiclitellata; Lumbricidae. The record is from RNAcentral.
CAAAAACAUUGCUUCUUGUCAUAAUUUUAAGAAGUAAUUCCUGCCCAGUGAUUCAACGGCCGCGGUAUCCUAACCGUGCAAAGGUAGCAUAAUCACUUGCCCAUUAAUUGUGGGCUAGAAUGAAAGGACCAACGAAAUAAAAACUGUCUCUAUAAGUUACAUAAAAAUUAAUCUCUAACUGAAGAGUGUUAGAUUCUGUCGAAGGACAAGAAGACCCUAUAGAGCUUCAUUUUAAUAAAAAAUAAAUCUUUAUUGAAAUUCGGUUGGGGCGACCAGGGAAAUAAGUAUCCUCCCUUAUUAAAAGAUUAUUAAAUCACACUUUUGACCCUUAAUAAAGAUCAUUAGAAAAAGCUACCUUAGGGAUAACAGGCUAAUCUCACUAAAGAGUCCUUAUCAAUAGUGGGGGUUGGCACCUCGAUGUUGGCUUAGGGAAUCCAUACGGCGCAAAAGUCGUAUAAAGAUGGUUUGUUCAACCAAUAAUACCCUACAUGAUCU